This 2053-nucleotide small RNA is filed under the name Rattus norvegicus (Norway rat). RNAcentral's name for it is "uncharacterized LOC108352466". The record is from RNAcentral. Lineage: Eukaryota; Metazoa; Chordata; Mammalia; Rodentia; Muridae.
CCCAUCCCCCACAGUCCUUGAAGGAUGAGACAAGAGUCUUCUGCCGGUCAAAUCUGACGCGCAACCAAGUCCGCUCUUGAGCUUCUGAUCUUCCCACCUCUACCUCCUGAGUGCUGGGGUUUCAGCCUCCUGCAUGGGGCCCAAAGCUGGUGGGACACUGAGCUGCCUCCAGGUGACUGACUUCUGCUGUGUGACGGGUUGAGAACCACUGAUCUAGGACAUUGCCUGGAACAAAAUGGGGCUCCAAGAAUACGACACUGGCUGUUUGAAUGAGGCCUCUGCCGUCUGAUCCUGCGUCUUCAAGCACCGGUCAGCCAACAAUACGAAGGAAAUCCCAUCCCUCUUCAGUACUUCAUACACAUCCCGCGGUUUCUGGGACACGUGUGGGGCCCUGUAGUGGCAUCUAUGGGGCGUGGGCAGGCUUGUGGUGUAGAGCACACGCUGGGCUGUUCACUUUGUAACCCGUAAUUUCAGGGGCCCAGAAAGUGCCAGGGUUUCUGCUCAACCUGAAAACGCUUUGGAGACCCUGCCCUGAACCCUUGCAAUUAGCAGCCACACGACCCUGUUCAGCAGCCCUGACCAGGGGUGCUUAGGAGGGCCAGGGAACACCCCUGGCUUGGGUCUCUGUUGAGAUCGUCCCUCCGGCUCCUGCAGUACCAGCCCAGCACAGUUCCCAGCCCCUUAUGGGUCCAGGUCCAUAUCUCAUUACAUAACCCUGAGCACUGGGGCCUGCCUUCCAAGCAAAAAUAGCUGAGCCUUUCAUGUGGCUAGGGAGUCCUAGGCUGCAGCACCACCACAGCCCAAGCCUGGCCUGUGGAGGGUUACCCUGGAGUAGCAUUCUGUCUGGGGCUCUCAAGUAGCAUGAUGGCGGCUAUGUCUGACCGGACCAGAGCUCUGGGGUUGCUAUGCAACCACCCUGGAUCUCAGUUUUCUCAUCAGAAAGCAACCUACAUUCAUUCGUUGCUCAUCUGUUUAUCGACCACCUACAUGUUCCUCCAGCUUGGAAACCAGAGCACAUUACAGCCAGGCUCUGUCUCAGUCUCUCCCUUUGAACCACGGUGGCUUUUGACCUCUGGGCAUCCUGCGAUCUGCUAUUUUUCCAUCGCGUGCUGGUGAGAGAGAGAAACAGCUAGGUGCGGUGGACAAGGGUCUUAGUUCCUAAAGCGGAUUGCAAACUUGGCCCAUGAGGCAGCGAUCUGUACCCCCCGCCUACGUAUGUGCCCGAGGGAAUGAAGACACACCCACACAAAGACAAGUGUCGGGGGCAGAUUUCUACACAGCAGACCCUGAACUGGAAGCAUCCCGGCCCUCGGCAGGAAAUUCUGCACACGUGUGGUUCCUAUUAGUAAAUUUUCAUCUCGACGUGACCACCUGACAGAACAACUUAAGAGGGGAGAGUUUUUGUUCUGCCUCAUGAUCUCCAAAGCUUCAGUGCAGAUUGUCGGGGUAGAUGGAGUUUGUGGCAAUGACAAACUGUUUACCUCCCAGACAGGAAGUGAACAGGAACACAGAAUGGGACAAGAUAGAGCCUUGAAGACACCAAGUGUCUCACCAUCCCAAAAGCUCGACCUGUCAUCUACUCCCAGCUCACCCACGAGCUCAUCCCUUGGGAUCUAAUGGCCUCUGGAGAUGACCUCAGAGCCAAUAAGAGGUGGAGUUUCACCUGCCUCCUUAGACAUUUGUCAGUCUAAUCAAGGUGACAUCAAGACCAGCUAUGACAAGCUGGAGAUACAUUGAUUGUUUUUUUUGUGGCCAUCUUGAGGGGAAGGAAGCCAGGGUAGGAACUCAAGCAGGAACAUGGCUUGCUGGCUUGUUUUCAGGCCGGUGCUUAACUGGAUUUCUCACACAGCCUAGGGAAUGGUGCUGCCCACAGUGGGCUGGGCUCCUCUAUAUCAAUCAACAAGACAAUCCCUGAUUCUUCUCAGGGGAUAGACCGUGUCCAGUUCACAGAGCUAAAUAGAACACUAGAGCUCAAGGAUCUGAGCACUUACCCACAAGGGUCAGGGUUCAUCCACAGUGAUGCAGAAAGCGGGUGUGGUGGCACAUGUCUAUA